GCCUCAGUGGCCAAGUGGUAAGGCGUCGGUCUCGUAAACCGAAGAUCAUGGGUUCGAACCCUAUCUGAGACU
This 72-nucleotide transfer RNA is filed under the name Saccoglossus kowalevskii. RNAcentral describes it as "tRNA-Thr". It matches the Rfam family "tRNA". Rfam says of the family: Transfer RNA (tRNA) molecules are approximately 80 nucleotides in length. Their secondary structure includes four short double-helical elements and three loops (D, anti-codon, and T loops). Lineage: Eukaryota; Metazoa; Hemichordata; Enteropneusta; Harrimaniidae. The record is from RNAcentral.